RNAcentral lists this long non-coding RNA (1123 nucleotides) under Musa acuminata (dwarf banana). Its description in RNAcentral is "long non-coding RNA (MACU_LNC001411)". The record is from RNAcentral. Lineage: Eukaryota; Viridiplantae; Streptophyta; Magnoliopsida; Zingiberales; Musaceae.
AGGCCUCUCUUCCUUAUGGAAGUGAAAGUUAGCUGCCAGAACUGGUUUCCUCUCCAUUGCUGGAUCCAUCAGAGGUGUCGGUUAUGCAGCUUGAGUCGGAUAAAGAGGAUGCAGAAUGACCUUGAUCUCUAUAUCUCUGCCCCAUGAAGUCAAUGAAGCCAAUGCCGCUCUCUGUAACUGGCGCUUCUUCCCCUUCCUCGGUCUCGACAUCCAUCUUGGUAGCUCUUUUCUUCUUAAAAAUGCGACAGAGCACCCAAUCUCUGCUCGGGAUGAUACAAUUCUACAUGAGCAGAAGCAUUCUAGAGUUUAGCAAAGAUUACCCAUGGAAGUGCAAAGGAUUAGGAGAGGAGAGCUACAUAAUAAGCUACCGAUGAAGUCAUGUCAUUCUAAAGUUUUUUCUGGCUUCAAGGUAUUGUUUUUCCAUUGACAAGAAAACAGGAUUUUACAAAAUCAAUCCUAGAACCAAAUCUUCAGGAUGUGAUGCAAUUGCAGAUUAACACUAACAAGGAUCAACAGGGCAUUCUAAUCUGACAUGGUAGUUGUUGCAUGUUAAUUGGCAGAUGUUGGAGGUAUAAAUCUGAGCUGGUCACGAGAACAUCCAUAAAAUCCUAAAUUUUGGGCCUGUUUCAGAUUCGAGAAGGGCAAGAACAGCUCACAUGAGUUGAGUUCUUCCUCUGGGGAAAGAUGCAGGCGGUGGACUCGGGGCCGGCGAGCCGGUACUCGUGCAUGACCCAGUCAGUCUUGCUCCCGGUGGGAUGCUUCCCUCCGUAGAAGACCAAGACCUUCUUCAUCCCCACCACCUGGCCGCACCUCGGCGACGUGAUCCGCUUGUCCCUCCCCGAGGCCUUCCAGUACCCGGACCUCGCCAUCCGGUUCGAUCGGCUCCUGCUGGGGCUCUUGGCCUCCCUUAGACUGAAGCAGUAUCUCUCCUCCUCGCCCCCACCUGAGCAUUACAACAAACAGCUUGAAGCAUGAGCACACGCACAACGCUCAAGAACCAAAAGGAGAUUGUUCGUACGGACCUGGCAAGUCCCAUGGAUCGAAUCUUGCGAGGUCGAGGUCAGGGAUGAAGGAGGCGGGCAAGGGGCAGGAGAAGACCUUCCGCUUGAGGUACUGAACCACG